Molecule: long non-coding RNA, 1452 nt
Filed under: Manihot esculenta (cassava)
Lineage: Eukaryota; Viridiplantae; Streptophyta; Magnoliopsida; Malpighiales; Euphorbiaceae
Description: long non-coding RNA (MESC_LNC007151)
Source: RNAcentral
UAGCCACAUUUUUAUUAUCUUUUUUAUUGUUUAUUUACACAUUUUUUAGUUUAAUUUAUGGUUUCUAUCUUGUUUUUACAGAAAAGGAAAGAAUUGGAAAAUUGGAGAAAAAGUGCAGAAAUUUGACAGAAAAGUGAUUGGGUCAGUGAUUUGCCCAGUGAUCUGCCCAGUUCAAGCUGAAGCAGAAACCUGGAGGCAACAGGCAGAAGUGAUAUGGGCAGUGAUUUGCCCAGGACACUCGAGGACACUGGCCAAAUCACUCGCAGAAGACAGAGAGAACUGACUGGCAGAAACGUGAUCAGGUCAGUGAUUUGCCCAAUCCAUUGAAGAAACUGGUCAAAUCGCCGGGCAAAUCACUUCGACAGCAGAAAAUACAGCAGAGCGGAAAAUUGUUCAAGAAACCGAAUUUCAAGUUUUCAGAAGUCCAAAUCCAACUCAAUCACUACCAAAUCAAUUCCAAGAGCCACGAAAGAGUCUCUCACUUAAGAAAUUCCAGUUGCAAUUAAAUUCAACAUCAAAAGAGGAAUCACAAGCCAAAUUAAAAAGGGAUUUCAAAACCCUAGAAGGAGAGAUUUCUUCAACUAUAAAAGGGCAACCUCCAAACCAGCAAAGGCAUCUUCUGCUGAGGAAUUGAACUCGUCAGAAACUCUCCAGCAUCUUCCUUUUUCCUUUCUUUUCAUCUUUUGUGUACUUAGUCCACCAUGAGUGGCUAAUUUCCUUCUUUUCUAGUUGAAGUUGGUGAAUUUCAGAUUUUGUGAUGAAUUGGGAGAUUUAAAUCUCCAUUGUUAAACUUCUAUUUAUUUUCAAUAUUUAUGCAAUUUGAGCUUUCCAUAAAUAUUACUUUGCUUUUAGAAUCAAUAAGGGCCCAUUGCUUUUAAAUUGCUUAAGUAAUAUUGUUUGAAUGAUUUAGGUCCGUAAUUGCUUAGGUUGUUCAAAUACACAUUUAAUCAAAUUGCAUAAUCUAAACUUGACCACGCGGUUGGCAAGGAUAGAAUUGGGUUUCUCUAAGUCUUAAUGCAGUCAACAGUUGUUCGAUGCUACAAUGCCCCAAGGACGUUCCUUGGCAACUUGUUGAUUAGUGUUUGAUUAGCGAACGUUUCCUAAUCAAACUAGAACUAAGGAGGAAUUUGGAUUGUGAGAAGCGUCUUCCACAUCCAAAACUAAUUUAUUGGAAUAAAUAGGAGAGUUAAAGAAUCAAUGAUCAAUUCUAAACAAUCUGAAAUAAGAUCCAUACUUCAACUAGAAGCUUGUCUCUUAUUGAUUUACUCACCUUUAAAUUAUUGCUUUCUUUUGCUAUUUUGUUUUAAUUCAUCAACUCAAACCCCCCUCUUUUAAUUAUUUGUUAUUUACUUAUCUUGGUUAUUAUUAGGAAGAUCUUUAGUGUCAAUUCCCUGUGGUUCGACCCUAUUGCCACUAUCUACAAGUUUAUUGUUGAUUGUUUAAUAGGUUUAU